Molecule: long non-coding RNA, 268 nt
Organism: Rana temporaria (common frog)
Lineage: Eukaryota; Metazoa; Chordata; Amphibia; Anura; Ranidae
Exons: 3
Source: RefSeq, a predicted model, not a curated record
CUGGAGUGUAUGCAGGGGUGGGAGUUUCCCUUGCUGUCCUGUUCAUUGUUAUUAUCACGGUAUCGUUUUACCUGGUCAGAGAAAAAAGGAAGAAGAAUAAGGAUGACUUCUUCAGAGAUAGUGAAGAUUUAUGGAGUCAUGAUACUGAUGAUCAGUGGACUGCACAAAAUGGGAUAUUCAAUCUAAACCUAAAUAUAGACUCAGAUUGAAUGUCUAGCAAGGAGAAGUUUCAACCCAAACUAGAAGCAGUGGAUACAAUAACUGAGGU